GUUUCAGACGAACCCUACUGGGGUUGAAGC
This 30-nucleotide non-coding RNA is filed under the name Haloplanus vescus. The record is from RNAcentral. Lineage: Archaea; Methanobacteriati; Methanobacteriota; Halobacteria; Halobacteriales; Haloferacaceae.